GACGAACGCUGGCGGCGUGCCUAAUACAUGCAAGUCGAGCGAAUCAGCAGGAGCUUGCUCCUGUUGGUUAGCGGCGGACGGGUGAGUAACACGUGGGCAACCUGCCUGUAAGACUGGGAUAACACCGGGAAACCGGUGCUAAUACCGGAUAAUCCUUUUCCUCUCAUGAGGAAAAGCUGAAAGUCGGUUUCGGCUGACACUUACAGAUGGGCCCGCGGCGCAUUAGCUAGUUGGUGAGGUAACGGCUCACCAAGGCGACGAUGCGUAGCCGACCUGGGAGGGUGAUCGGCCACACUGGGACUGAGACACGGCCCAGACUCCUACGGGAGGCAGCAGUAGGGAAUCUUCCACAAUGGACGAAAGUCUGAUGGAGCAACGCCGCGUGAGCGAUGAAGGCCUUCGGGUCGUAAAGCUCUGUUGUUAGGGAAGAACAAGUACCGGAGUAACUGCCGGUACCUUGACGGUACCUAACCAGAAAGCCACGGCUAACUACGUGCCAGCCGCCGCGGUAA
This 512-nucleotide ribosomal RNA is filed under the name uncultured bacterium. Its description in RNAcentral is "partial 16S ribosomal RNA". It matches the Rfam family "Bacterial small subunit ribosomal RNA", at positions 28 to 523 of the family's 1533-position model. The record is from RNAcentral.